This 631-nucleotide long non-coding RNA is filed under the name Mytilus galloprovincialis (Mediterranean mussel). Lineage: Eukaryota; Metazoa; Mollusca; Bivalvia; Mytilida; Mytilidae. The record is from RNAcentral.
UUGGUUGAUUUUUUUAGUUGAUUUUUUUAAUUCUGUUAAUCCCAUCCAGACCCUCAUACAUGUACAUGUAUCAAAAUAAUCCAGACUACAUAUUAUAAUAUUUAAUAUGUGACUCCCUCCUCCAUGAUUUGGACCCUCAGUUGCAAUGCAGUCAACCAUUCCUUCCAAUUGUUGUGCCCCUUUUCCAUAUUAUUGACCCUCAGUUGCAGUCGACCAUUCCUUCCUAUUGUUGUAAGUUAUAUCAUUAUUGCAUCUGAACAGAUGUUUUUUUAAGUCUGAAGGCUGGUAAUGAUUACAUACAUAUAUAUCAACAUAUAUACAUAGAUCUGACAUUGAUAUGAUCAAUGUCAGACUAUGAAAGAGUCUAUAAUAGUUGUUAAGUUGAUAAAUUACUAACAGAAAUCAUAAGUUAUUUACAAAAUCUUGUAUUUAUUGUGCAAACACUCUAUUUUUCUAUUUAAUACUAUUACUUCCCCCCUUUUUCUAUUAGAAAGUCAUAUUUUGAGCGAGAUAAUUGACAAUAAAAGACAAUUUCCCCCUAGUUUUUUCUGAUUUACUAAUACUUAAAUCAAUAUUUAUAGACAGUUGAAGAUCAAGGAUUUUGAAAAAAGAGCCACUUCCAGGCCCCCCA